This 236-nucleotide ribosomal RNA is filed under the name uncultured bacterium. RNAcentral describes it as "partial 16S ribosomal RNA". It matches the Rfam family "Bacterial small subunit ribosomal RNA", at positions 99 to 334 of the family's 1533-position model. The record is from RNAcentral.
CGAACGGGUGAGUAACGCGUGAGGAACCUGCCUCAAAGAGGGGGACAACAGUGGAAACGACUGCUAAUACCGCAUAAGCCCACGGGUCGGCAUCGACCUGAGGGAAAAGGAGCAAUCCGCUUUGAGAUGGCCUCGCGUCCGAUUAGCUAGUUGGUGAGGUAAUGGCCCACCAAGGCGACGAUCGGUAGCCGGACUGAGAGGUUGAACGGCCACAUUGGGACUGAGACACGGCCCAG